GGUUCUUUACCACUGAGCCAUCAGGGAAGCCCAGGAGUUCAUUAUUCUUCAUCACUACCUACUUACUACAAGAGGAGAAGGGGAUUGAACGUGGGCCCACAGCAGUGAAAGCACUGGACUGCCUGAGAAUUCCUGGGACUUUUUAAAAAACCAAAUUUGAUAAUGUUUGUUAUUUAAUUGGAAUGUUAAGCCUUUAAUAGUUGAUGCAAUUAUUAAUAUGAUUUGGUAUAUAUAUAUACCAUUUUAUUUUGUUUUCUAUAUGUCCCAUCUGUCCUUUAUUUUUUUUGCUUGAAAAACAUCAAGAUUCCUUGUAAUAAAAGGUUUGCAGUUGACAAAUCUUCUUAGCUUUAGUUUGUCUGAAAAGGUUUUUAUUUUGAAAGGUAUUUUCACUAGAUUCAGAAUUUCAGGCUGAUAGAUAUUUUCUUCUAGCUAUUCAAAGAUGAUAUUCCACUGUUUUUUAAUUUGCAAAGUUUUGGAUGGUAAAUCUAUAAUAAAUAUUACCUUUGUUUCUCUGAAAGUAUAUUUUUUCUCCAAAUAUUUAAAAUUUCUGUAUCCCUAUUUUUAGCAAUUUGAUGAUAUGCAUAAAGGUGUGUGUGUAUGUAUG
This is a long non-coding RNA of Bubalus bubalis (water buffalo), 604 nucleotides long. RefSeq lists it as uncharacterized. NCBI's taxonomy places the organism in Eukaryota, Metazoa, Chordata, Mammalia, Artiodactyla, Bovidae. The transcript has 2 exons. The record is from RefSeq and is a predicted model, not a curated record.